AGCAGAAACAGUGUUCGAUGCAUGAACCUGCCGGGAUCAAAGUUUUCAAGACUUCAAGAACACAUCCUCAUGGAUGAGAAUGUCGACAGGAGUGGUGUGGGAAAGAGCUAAUUGAUGACUUCUCGCUAAGUGAUGAGAGAGACUAAUAUCAAAGGGGACCAAUUUUUGAAAUGAUGACCAAUGGAUGACUGAUGUUGAGCGGAAAAGACACUUCUACUUUCAUUUAUAUUAAUUAAAAUUACAAUAAUUUUAUGCGUAUUUCUGCUGUCCAAAAAAAUUUUGUGUAUUUUUUUUUAAUAUUAAUUUUUUGUAACCAGAAUGUUAUGUGCUUUUUAUUAUUAUCGUAAUUAGUUUUUUAAUAUUAACUAAAAUUAUUGUAGUUCUCACAUAAGGUAUAAGGAGAAUUUUU
RNAcentral lists this unclassified non-coding RNA (409 nucleotides) under Hevea brasiliensis (rubber tree). The record is from RNAcentral. Lineage: Eukaryota; Viridiplantae; Streptophyta; Magnoliopsida; Malpighiales; Euphorbiaceae.